Long non-coding RNA from Myxocyprinus asiaticus (Chinese sucker), 5494 nucleotides. RefSeq lists it as uncharacterized. The transcript has 4 exons. The record is from RefSeq and is a predicted model, not a curated record. NCBI's taxonomy places the organism in Eukaryota, Metazoa, Chordata, Actinopteri, Cypriniformes, Catostomidae.
AUAAUAAUAAUAAUAAUAAUUUAUUAUUAUUAUUAUUAUUAUUAUUAUACAGCUAUUAUAUUAAAAUAAAUAUAAUUAUAUUCUUCUUUUUUUCUUACCAGAUGAAGCUGAAUUUAAAGGCUACAUUAACUGUGUAAUAUGUUGUUAACUGUGGUUUCUCCUGGUAUUUCUGAUAUUAAUAUCCGCAUGAAACAGAAUUUUCGUUUGUCUGUGCAGGUAUAACAACAUUAUUCUGAAGGCAGGAGGUGUCAAGUAAAAUAUGAAAUGUCAAGCACACAUUUUGCAGUGAAUAAUAAAUAUAAAUUCAAACAUUAAAAGAAAUGAAAAUAAAAUCAAUAUAGCCUACAAACAGGUGAAAGUCCCCUAAAUCUAUCAGGAUUUUUUAUGAUAAGACACCAUUAUUUAGUUAAAUAAUAAUAAUAAUAAUAAUAAUAAUAAAAAUUUUAAAUUUAUAUAGAGCCUUACUAGAGGUAGCAGAGUUUAAAGAAGAAGAAAAAGAAAAAAAGUCAGAGCAUGUUUCAGUUUCUUCAUUUUACAUAAGGAGAAAUUCCUAAUAAAUGAAUACUCUAUGGAGCAUUUAAACCUUUAUGAAGCAUUUUAACUUUUUUUUGGAAUAAAGUCUUAACCAGAUAAUUUCCUUAAUCGCUGAUGUGGACAUAAAUGUGGUCAACUUUAAAAGAUGGAUAGGCGGGCUCCAACGUGAAAUCAUCACUUCAUGUCAGGAAUUUAACAUCGCGCUUAAGUUUAGGCUAUAAAUGAAUACAUGGGAAUCACAUGUGAAUCGUGUGAUAUAUUAACAAAGACAUUUAAAGAUGUGGAAGGUGUAUAUGAUGUCAUAUCCUAAUGUUUCACCUGAUAAGCUCCAGACGCACACAAUUAACAGGGAACAGAGAGUCGUGACCGUGCCCAUCCGAUUUGAAAUCAUAACAUGCACAUUUUCAUUCAUAAGGUUUACACUUUAGAAAUAUUGGCUGCACAGAUUCAUAAAUUCUUUGUAAUUUUGUAAAUGUUUAUUUAAAAUGUUGCUUUAUCCUUGUGCCUCUUGGUUAAUCACUCAUAUGAAUAUACCGGCACACAUCUGCUUCUCUUCCCACCACCGGUAAGUUGCUUUUAUAUUGUUUGAUAACUUGAGAAAUGUACUCAAUUAGGGUGAGGUUAUUUAGUCUUUAACAAGGACAGGUGUAACAGAUUUCAAUAGCACAACAUAAUACGGCAAAACAAAUGUAAACAAACACACGUGCCACUCAACAUUCCAAUAACAGCAAAUAUAAAGGAGCAAAAGUGUGAGCAUGCAUCAAUCAUCCCAAAAAACAGAUAACUCCAGUAUCUCAUCCUAUAGUUUGCUACAAACUCCUAGAUUUACAUUGAUCGUCCCGACCAAUCCCAGGCCAAAAGAAUCAUCUCUGGAGCAAGGACCGCCAUGAGAUCGAUCGGCUCACCGAACCUCUGCGACAGGUCCACUGCAAGCAACAAACACACGAGUCUCCACGUCAGAGCAGGGUCAAUAAUAACCAGAGCGGGCAGUGGGAGGAUUCCCGGUAAGCGAACAGGUCUACCUGUGCUUUGCUGAAUCAACUCCAAAUCAGCUGGACCACAUGGGGGUGGAGUCUGAAUGACAGAAAUUUGAGGCAAAUCUUGAUAAAAAGGUCUGGACAGGCAAGGAAUUAAAGUGUUCUUCAGUCAUUUGGACAUCUGGUGAACUUAAUAUUGAAGUUUUUGAAUGGACUUGUAUAUGUGUAUAGUCAUAAUUUGCCUUUAUGAGUAACAUGUAUGUGAUUAUUUGAGUUGUCGUUCUGUAAUUAAUGUUCUGUUUGCAGAAAGGCCUCAGUUGUUUCAUUCUUUUUUUUAACUUGUAAUAGAUAGAAGUUAGUUACUCUAACUCUGUAAGCUAAAACUGCUUACUGUGGUUAGUUAUAUGGUAUAGACACUGCAAUUUAAUAUACAACAUACAAACAAUUACCAUAAUUUUACUGUACAGCUAAUAUACUGCAUUUUAAUAUACGUCAGACAAACAACUGCCGUAAUUAAUUUUACAGUACAGCACAUACUGUAAAUCAUUAUACAGUAUGCUGUAAACUACUGUAGAUAGUUUUACAGUAAUUUUACUGUGGUAAGGAAUACAGCAGCUUGCUGGCUAUUUGUUGCCAAUAAGUUACUGUUGAUUUUACAUAAUUUUUUUUACAGUGUGUAUACAGUAUAUCCCUCAGUACAUCAGUGUUACUGUUAUGAAACGGUCUAAAAAAGAAAAAGAAAUUACAAAAGUUGGUGCGCUGUUUCUCCUCAUUAUAUUUUAAUUUUAAUAUAAGCACAAAUGUGACAUUUCAAGUAGAAUUCUCAGUUAUUUUAGUGAAGUACCUGUAUUAACUGAACUUUGGCUGUGCAUGCUUCUCAUCUGUGCCACUGCAGGUUAAUAUGGCCACGUACACAGUACUAAGUUUCGAGAGUGACAACUACAUUUAAAUGUGGGAGUGAUUCCCCUAAAUGUUCAUUCCAGGUGUGUAUGGAAUACAGGAGUUACUCCUGCAGUUGCGGUGAUUGACAAGUGAUAACUAUAGCAAUGCUGCAGUGUCUCAAGCCUGUAAACAAGAACCAUGAAUGCCACCAGUUUAAACCAUUUUUUGUUUGCUAUUUUUGAGCAGAGAUUAUCUACCAGAAAUGUAUUUUCAUCCAGCAAUGCUUAGUCGCGGUGUUUUGUUUAUGCACGUCUAAGCGGCUCCUGUUAAACAGCAUGCUCUCUCUGGACUGUAAUGUACUGGUUACCUCGAGACCGUAGGGCUGAUGACAGAAACAACAGUGCAGAGAGACAGACUGCAAUAUAUGAAUGAAUGAAGACACAUACCUCUUUUUGUGUGAUGUGCAAUAGCAGAGGAUGGACACAUCUCACACGCAUUAUUGAUCACGUCAUUCGCAACUACAGUUGUUCAGUUUGGUUCUAUACACACUAUGUAGAAUUUAUGAAAAUGCGGUUGUUACUACCUGAAUUUUUUGGGAGUUAAUUCUGUUGUAGAAUGCGGUUGUCACUCCCAUAUUUUACUGAAGUGUGUGUGUAAAAAACAGGAUUAAUCACUCAAAGGUGAACAUAUUUUACAUAUUUUGCUGCAGUGUAUGUGGGUAUUCAGGUGCACUGAAGAAGAUCCGUGAAGAUUUGUCUGUACUUCUACACAGAUUUUUCCCCCAUCGGAUGGUUAUUUCCUUUUGAAGCCACACAUAUAAAACUCUUGUUUUUGUGUAGAGGUUGAUUGACACAUCAGCCUCUACGCUAUCACAUCCGGGACCCUCACUAUUAACACUGGUGCUCCUCAGGGAUGCAUUCUCUCUCCACUGCUCUUCUCCCUGUACACGAAUGACUGCACUGCAAAGGACCCCUCUGUCAAGCUCCUGAAGUUCGCAGAUGACAUCACGGUCACUGGCCUAAUCCGUGAUGGUGACGAGUCUGCAUACAGAUGGGAGCUUGAUCAGCUGGCUGUCUGGUGCGGUCACAACAACCUUGAGCUGAACACGCUCAAAACAGUGGAUAUGAUAGUGGACUUCAGGAGAAAUCCCCCACCCCACAUAGACCCCAUUGUGAAGAAGGCACAGCAGAGGUUGUACUUCCUUUGCCAGCAGAGGAAGUUCAACCUGCCACUGGAGCUGCUGACUCCAUUCUACUCAGCCGUCAUUGAGUCUGUCCUGUGUACAUCUAUAACUGUCUGGUUUGGUUCAGCCACCAAAUCAGACAGAAGGAAACUACAAUUGAACUAUUGCCCUCUAGCCGGCGCUACAGAGCACUCAGCGCCAGGACAUCCAGGCACAAGGACAGUUUUUACCCUCCAUUUUCCACAUGAACAAUUAAACUGCCUUCAGGACUCCCAUAGUGCAAUAAUGUAUAAAUAUGUCAUGUACAUAUGUAAAUUCACUUAUAUUUAGUUCAAUAACUGUACAUACCCCCACCUUGGACAUAUAUUACCACUUGCACACAUACAUACGCUAUUCUGUUAUAUGUCCUAUUUUUUUGUAUGUCUGUUUAUACUCUUACCUUGUUUUAUAUUCUGUGUCUCACUGUAAUGUUCUGUGUGAACUUCCUGUUUCUCCUAUCACCAAAAAAAAAAAAAAAGAUAUUCCUUGUGUACUUCAGCACACUUGGCAACAAAGCUCAUUCUGUUUCUGGUGCUGAAUAGGCAGUUUUUCGCUGCUGCCUAAGACACUUCAGGACCGAUUACCAUUUACAGUAUAAAUGCAGUGUGGUCACAUACCGUACGUAUCCAAACACCUCCAAAUGUGGUUUGUUUAAUCAUAUCACAAAGUGCUUAGGACAUCAAAUCACUUAGGAAAUUUUCUAUUUGGCCGGUGAAUUUCUCAGUUCUGGAUAAAAAUGGUCGAACAUUAUCAGGUUGUUCCUUUAUAUUAAUAUAUGUGUCAGCUUAUAAAUGUAAUGUGUCAGCUUAUAAAAAUAAUGUUUAUGGGAAUGUUUCUUUGGUAGGGUUUUGGUGCUAUUACCACAGAGAAUUUAGCGAAUAUAACAACCAGCUUGAAUCGUUUCAGAGCAACAGUUAGCUAGUUUAGACUGCUCAUUGAUAGCCUCAGAUUUCCCAAUUAACAAAAUAAUACAAUUCUUUAAAAGCGCAGUUCACUUUUAAACUUGGGCCAACUUAGUAUUGUUUGUUUGUGAUGGGAAGUCUGAUUAAUUUCCUUGAACCGGUUCUUUCAGAUGGUUCGUUUCAAUGAACCAUUUAAAAAAAACUAUUCAGCGUUUCUUAUACGUCAUCUCAUAAUGACAUCACUAGUACAUAAUUCUAACAUUCAUCAUGGGCUGCAUCCGAAACCAGGAAAAUGCUGCCUCCGGAGGCUGUAUACGGAGGUGGGAAGGGAUCAAUGCACAUCUGAAUCCAAUGUUUGUGUCACAUCCUGUCUACUGAGAUACAUUCUUCUGAUCGAUUUUUGAAGGCAGCAUAUAUGUAUCCUUCGCUGCCUUUGAAAUCCCACAAUCCUGUGCACACAGAUCCACAGUUGAGCUGAAGAAAAAAAAUAGACACAGUUUAUAUCCAAUUUGUGUAUAAAUGUAAGUUUUUAUUCACUUUUUCCAACUUUUGAUUCCAUUUCCAAUGAGAAAGUAGUAUUGUACUUAUUAAAUAUACACUUGGUUAUCACCGAAACUCUCUUGAUUUUGUUCUAGAUUAUUAGACCAUUCAGUCCAACGAAACCACAAUGAUGCAGACGCGUUACCUUUAGUGGACACCAGAUGGCGAUAAUCAGUUGCUGGUAUCCUAGCAACAAUGUGACUUUAUGCUGCCUCAUGCUUUUCCAAACGGCAUUUUUGCGCCCUUCAAGGGCACUUCGGGAAGGGGACACCACUCAAAGUGUUGUUUCAAACAAAAGUAAGAAAGUUUAUUUUUUCUCAAAGGGCCCUUUUACAAGAUUUUAGUGAAGGGUACAUUCAAACGAUAAUGUCGUUCUCUCUUUAGAGAGCCCGCAUCAAGAGCUUUGUCCUUUGUAGUGAGAAGGGCAUAAGGAUGAU